Paramuricea clavata is the source of this 1336-nucleotide non-coding RNA. NCBI's taxonomy places the organism in Eukaryota, Metazoa, Cnidaria, Anthozoa, Malacalcyonacea, Plexauridae. The record is from the annotation of a GenBank genome assembly.
CUAAUUGACAGAAAAUAUUUUCAUAUUCCUUUGUGGUUCCAGUAAAUUAAAUAUUUUCCACACCCUGUUAAUUAAUUAGCUAAUAUAGUAUACAUAACAAAUGUAAAUGGUAAAUUUCUAGAAAGGAAGACAGAUCAGCAAGAGAAAUAUUCCAUGGCAGAAUUGGAUAUUACGACCGCCAUUUUGUAUCCCAUAUGGCAACUCGUGCCCAAAGGGAGGAGCUAGACUAUGUUGUUCCUGGAGAUGUUUUCCUGUUUUUGGUUAUCAUAAACCGUAAGUACGGAAUGGAUGAUUCCAGAGCCCCGUUUACACUACGCUCAAAUUUUCGGUACGGCACGGAUAAAAUUGGUACCCGUACCACUACCGCAAAUUUUGUAUUAAUUUGUAUAUACACGCACGGGAAUUUGCACCACUUUCGGCCCAAAUGUGGUGCAUUUUCCCGCGCGUAAUACAAAUUAAUACAAAAUUUGCAAAUUUCGCAGGGCUAUAUUUUCCGCAUUUUACAACAUUUCGCGGCCAAACUUCCCAAUUUUACUAAUUUUAACAUGCUCUUUCUAGCUGUGAUGGAUUUUGUUCUUCUUGCCUAGAUCAAAAUUUAGUCUAUAGCUUCCUGUAUAUUUCAUGUUCAAAUUUAAAUAUCUUUCCAUAUACAUGCACUAUAGGUGCAUUUUUGGGCUGUACUUGCUUCCUCCACGGGUAUCACCUUAGCGGGCGGGCAAGACUUAGUUAGGGAAAAAACCACAUUGAAACCUAUUUUAUUAACGGAGGAGAGGUGGUUGUGUGUAAACCAUGCACGUUUGGCUCAUAUUAACUGUGCGGACGAAGGCCUUUUUCAAAACGUUCAAUACACUGGCUUUUGCAUGUGUUAUAGCUUCAGGGUGACGGAAUUUAACCCAACAGAACUAGAACUCGUUAUCAAAAUGUUCAGUCGAUCUUCAGAGUUUACGCCAAUUUUUCUCUUAUCCAUGUAUUGGUUAAUGUAUAUAUAAGGAAUUGAAUGGAAAUAAGUAAAGUUGGAAAUUUAUCAAAAAGCUUCAUGAUGUGCCGGCAAAGUGGGCUAUAUAUAAGGUCCGUGUGGUUGCAUGAUGAGUCAGUCGCUUGUUUCUAAUUACAAUUUUUUGCUUUCUAUAUAGGUGGCGUUGCGUUUGAGAAGAAACAGUGGCAAACUGGUUGAAAAAUGAUAAUCCUAUGAAUUAACUAUAUAACCCAGAAUCAUACGGUCAGCUAUAUACAUAUAGAUAAUACAUGGCUAGAUAAUGGAAGGAUAUAAUUCCACAAACUCUUUGCACCAGAAUAUGUAAAUUAUCAUAUCACUAAAUAAAUAUACAUAUAUACC